AAGGAGCAAUAUCAGUGAUUGCGACUGAAGAAUGCAGACUGUUUGUACUGUUUAACAGUAUACAGGAUUUCCUAUUAUUUUGAACAACAACCAGAAUUGACAUAAAUAUGUCCUGGAGAGGUGAUAUAUGAAUAGUAAAUCAAAGCAGAAAUACAUGAUUAAAAAAUUCACUGAGUUCUUUCAAAAGGGUUAUCGACUUGGUGAAAAGCAGACGGACAGAUAAGCAGCAGACAGAUCAGAGUUUUAAGCUGAAGGUGAGUAUUACAUUUGAGCAUUCAUGAGAACAUU
Micropterus salmoides (largemouth bass) is the source of this 288-nucleotide long non-coding RNA. RefSeq lists it as uncharacterized. The transcript has 2 exons. The record is from RefSeq and is a predicted model, not a curated record. Lineage: Eukaryota; Metazoa; Chordata; Actinopteri; Centrarchiformes; Centrarchidae.